CCACUAGCGUAUAUUAAAGUUGUUGCCGUUACAAAGCUCGUAGUUGAAUUUCGGGAUUCUUCCGUUGGUCAGGCUAACCAGUCUGUACUAGCGUGUAGAAUUCCUACCUUCUGGGGAACCAUCAUGUUAUUAAUUUAGCGUGGUGGGAAACCAGGACCUUUACCUUGAAAAAAUUAGAGUGUUCAAAGCAGGCUUACGUCUGAAUACAUUAGCAUGGAAUAAUAAAAUAGGACGGUGGUCCUGUUUUGUUGGUUUCUGAAUCACCGUAAUGAUUAAUAGGGAUAGUUGGGGGCAUUAGUAUUCAAUUGUCAGAGGUGAAAUUCUUGGAUUUAUUGAAGACUAACUUCUGCGAAAGCAUUUGCCAAGGAUGUUUUCAUUAAUCAAGAACGAAAGUUAGGGGAUCGAAGACGAUCAGAUACCGUCGUAGUCUUAACUAUAAACUAUGCCGACUAGGGAUCGGACGAUGUUAAAUUUUAUUGACUCGUUCGGCGCCUUACG
RNAcentral lists this ribosomal RNA (498 nucleotides) under uncultured Glomeromycotina. Its description in RNAcentral is "partial small subunit ribosomal RNA". It matches the Rfam family "Eukaryotic small subunit ribosomal RNA", at positions 591 to 1092 of the family's 1831-position model. Lineage: Eukaryota; Fungi; Glomeromycota. The record is from RNAcentral.